This 637-nucleotide ribosomal RNA is filed under the name uncultured bacterium. RNAcentral describes it as "bacterial SSU rRNA". The stretch from base 1 to 542 matches the Rfam family "Bacterial small subunit ribosomal RNA", at positions 338 to 873 of the family's 1533-position model. The record is from RNAcentral.
CCUACGGGAGGCAGCAGUGGGGAAUUUUGGACAAUGGGCGCAAGCCUGAUCCAGCAAUGCCGCGUGCAGGAUGAAGGCCUUCGGGUUGUAAACUGCUUUUGUACGGAACGAAACGGCCCUUUCUAAUACAAGGGGCUAAUGACGGUACCGUAAGAAUAAGCACCGGCUAACUACGUGCCAGCAGCCGCGGUAAUACGUAGGGUGCGAGCGUUAAUCGGAAUUACUGGGCGUAAAGCGUGCGCAGGCGGUUAUAUAAGACAGAUGUGAAAUCCCCGGGCUCAACCUGGGACCUGCAUUUGUGACUGUAUAGCUAGAGUACGGUAGAGGGGGAUGGAAUUCCGCGUGUAGCAGUGAAAUGCGUAGAUAUGCGGAGGAACACCGAUGGCGAAGGCAAUCCCCUGGACCUGUACUGACGCUCAUGCACGAAAGCGUGGGGAGCAAACAGGAUUAGAUACCCUGGUAGUCCACGCCCUAAACGAUGUCAACUGGUUNUUGGGUCUUCACUGACUCAGUAACGAAGCUAACGCGUGAAGUUGACCGCCGUCGGGAGGUACGGCCGCGACGGUUAGUAACGUACGAAAGGAAGUUAGUACGGCGUGAGACGUAGACCGACGGACGACGACGAGGGAGGUUAGGG